Molecule: ribosomal RNA, 390 nt
Filed under: uncultured Planctomycetota bacterium
Lineage: Bacteria; Pseudomonadati; Planctomycetota
Description: bacterial SSU rRNA
Rfam family: Bacterial small subunit ribosomal RNA
Source: RNAcentral
GCUUAGAGAGGGGUCAAUGUCCUAUCAGCUAGUUGGUAGGGUAAUGGCCUACCAAGGCUAAGACGGGUAGCCGGCCUGAGAGGGUGGUCGGCCACACUGGGACUGAGACACUGCCCAGACUCCUACGGGAGGCUGCAGUCGAGAAUCUUUCGCAAUGCCCGAAAGGGUGACGAAGCGACGCCGCGUGUGGGAAGAAGGCCCUCGGGUUGUAAACCACUGUCGGGAGUUAAGAAAUGCAAGGGUGUUAAUAGCAUCCUUGCUUGACUAAGGCUCCGGAGGAAGCCACGGCUAACUCUGUGCCAGCAGCCGCGGUAAUACAGAGGCGGCAAGCGUUGUUCGGAAUUAUUGGGCGUAAAGAGCACGUAGGCGGCUUUGUAAGUCAGUUGUGAA